Molecule: long non-coding RNA, 363 nt
Organism: Lemur catta (Ring-tailed lemur)
Lineage: Eukaryota; Metazoa; Chordata; Mammalia; Primates; Lemuridae
Exons: 2
Source: RefSeq, a predicted model, not a curated record
CCUCACGUCCCCAGCCCAGGCCCAGAGGGGGUCACUGGUCACCCACCUGCGGCUCCUGGCGCUCAGGUGGCAGACACUGUGCCCCUCGCUCAGCUCAGUUUCAUGUUUCUGGAAAGGUGGGAAAGGCCGUGGCUCAGCCUCCCCUAGGGCUCCUCUACGUCCCUGCGUCUCCUCACGUGUGGCCCCUCACUCAGGAGCACAAGUCGGCGUGGGACCUCAGAUGCCCAGGCCUCGUCCCAGACACUGGUGCUGUCCUGCUCAGUGGGAUAUUCAAGUCCUCAUUGGCUCAAUAAUUGGAUCUUUGUGCAACAAGCACCUGGACCGAGGCCGAAGUCCCCUCGUGGUUUCAAUGACAGGAGCACC